Molecule: ribosomal RNA, 442 nt
Filed under: uncultured bacterium
Lineage: Bacteria
Description: bacterial SSU rRNA
Rfam family: Bacterial small subunit ribosomal RNA
Source: RNAcentral
UCCUACGGGAGGCAGCAGUGGGGAAUAUUGCACAAUGGGGGAAACCCUGAUGCAGCAACGCCGCGUGAGUGAUGAAGGUUUUCGGAUCGUAAAGCUCUGUCUUUGGGGAAGAUAAUGACGGUACCCAAGGAGGAAGCCACGGCUAACUACGUGCCAGCAGCCGCGGUAAUACGUAGGUGGCGAGCGUUAUCCGGAUUUACUGGGCGUAAAGGGAGCGUAGGCGGAUGAUUAAGUGGGAUGUGAAAUACCCGGGCUCAACUUGGGUGCUGCAUUCCAAACUGGUUAUCUAGAGUGCAGGAGAGGAGAGUGGAAUUCCUAGUGUAGCGGUGAAAUGCGUAGAGAUUAGGAAGAACACCAGUGGCGAAGGCGACUCUCUGGACUGUAACUGACGCUGAGACUCGAAAGCGUGGGGAGCAAACAGGAUUAGAUACCCUGGUAGUCC